UCCCAGUUAAUCUGGGCAGUCUGAUUUGAGUGCUCGGAAUGAACCGGUGGCAACAAAUCACAAGGGUUGCGCUCGUUGCGGGACUUAACCCAACAUCUCACGACACGAGCUGACGACAGCCAUGCAGCACCUGUGGAAAGCGCGUGUUUCCACGCUACCCGGCUUUCACCGGGGUUACAAUCCAUGUCAAGCCCAGGUAAGGUUCUUCGCGUUGCAUCGAAUUAAGCCACAUACUCCACCGCUUGUGCGGGUCCCCGUCAAUUUCUUUGAGUUUUAGUCUUGCGACCGUACUACCCAGGCGGCACGUUUAACGCGUUAGCUCCGGCACAGGGAGGGUUGCUCCCCACACCUAGCGCCCACCGUUUACGGCGUGGACUAC
RNAcentral lists this unclassified non-coding RNA (379 nucleotides) under uncultured Verrucomicrobiaceae bacterium. Its description in RNAcentral is "contains 16S-23S intergenic spacer region". Lineage: Bacteria; Pseudomonadati; Verrucomicrobiota; Verrucomicrobiia; Verrucomicrobiales; Verrucomicrobiaceae. The record is from RNAcentral.